Molecule: ribosomal RNA, 1583 nt
Filed under: Rana draytonii (California red-legged frog)
Lineage: Eukaryota; Metazoa; Chordata; Amphibia; Anura; Ranidae
Description: 16S ribosomal RNA
Rfam family: Bacterial large subunit ribosomal RNA
Source: RNAcentral
GCCUAAAAUCUAGCCCACGCACUCGCAUGACUUCUCCUUACCCUCCCCCACACAAACAAAACAUUUUAACAUUUUAGUACAGGCGAUCGAAAAAUUUCUAAGCGCUUCAGAUAAAGUACCGCAAGGGAAAAAUGAAAUAGAAAUGAAAUAACCCUAAAGCCCCAAAUAGCAGAGAUUACACCUCGUACCUUUUGCAUCAUGGUCUAGCCAGUCUACCCAAGCAAAAUGAAAAUUUCAGUUUGACACCCCGAAACUAAGCGAGCUACUUCAGAACAGCCUAACGGGCCAACCCGUCUCUGUUGCAAAAGAGUGGGAAGAUUCUUAAGUAGAGGUGACAAGCCUACCGAGCUUAGAGAUAGCUGGUUGUUCAGGAAAAGAGUUUUAGCUCCUCCUUAAGCUUCCUCAUUAUAUCAAAUAAACCCCAAAGCUUAAGAGCCAUUCAAAUAGGGCACAGCUUAUUUGAAACAGGACACAACCUACAACACAGGGUAAACAAGAGUAAAUUAAGUAAAGUGGGCCUAAAAGCAGCCACCUUUAAAAAAGCGUUAAAGCUUAACUAUUUCCUACUCAUAAUUCCUCUAACCCCCUCUAACCCUUCAUUAUUACUGAACAAUUUUAUACCCCUAUAAAAGCUAUCAUGCUAGAACUAGUAACAAGAAACUGCCCUUCUCCUAAAUGUAAACGUAAACCAAAAUAGACCAUCUAUUGGUUAUUAACGCAGAUGCCAAAGAUCAUAAUAACACUUACUAGAAAAUCCUACGACCUCCCAGCGUUAACCUUACACUAGAACAUUCCAGGAAAGAUUAAAAGAAAAAGAAGGAACUCGGCAAAUCUUAGCCUCGCCUGUUUACCAAAAACAUCGCCUCUUGACAAACAUAAGAGGUCCAGCCUGCCCAGUGACAAAGUUCAACGGCCGCGGUACCCUAACCGUGCGAAGGUAGCAUAAUCACUUGUUCUUUAAAUGAGGACUCGUAUCAACGGCACUACGAGGGCUAUACUGUCUCCUUUUUCCAAUCAGUGAAACUGAUCUCCCCGUGAAGAAGCGGGGAUCAAAAUAUAAGACGAGAAGACCCCAUGGAGCUUUAAACUCAUCAUGCAUCUCUGUGCUCUCCCACCACUAUACACAAGAAAUCUGUAUGCUAGUUUUAGGUUGGGGGGACCACGGAGUACAAUUUAACCUCCACAACAAAUGGGCUAACACCCUUAUCCACGAAACACAAUUCUAAGAAUUACUAAACUAAUGUUUAUGACCCGAUAUUCGAUCAAUGAACCAAGUUACCCUGGGGAUAACAGCGCAAUCUACUUCAAGAGCCCAUAUCGACAAGUAGGUUUACGACCUCGAUGUUGGAUCAGGGUAUCCUGGUGGUGCAGCCGCUACUAAAGGUUCGUUUGUUCAACGAUUAAAACCCUACGUGAUCUGAGUUCAGACCGGAGUAAUCCAGGUCGGUUUCUAUCUAUAAAGGGCUUUCCCCCAGUACGAAAGGACCGGGGCAACAUGGCCAAUGCUCAAACAAGCCAUCAUCUUCCACUAAUGAAGGAAUCUUAAUUAGCCAAGACCUAAUAUAUUACCCUAAACAAGGGUU